This is a long non-coding RNA of Cyprinus carpio carpio, 365 nucleotides long. The record is from Ensembl. Lineage: Eukaryota; Metazoa; Chordata; Actinopteri; Cypriniformes; Cyprinidae.
AGGUUCAGUCCAGGAUCAAAUGUUUGGAUACCAGUAGGUGCUCCAUGUGAAAGUAAUCUUGAAUGAUGAAUGAAGUGGUGUCAGAGGACUGGGCAGUGUAUGAAAGCAUUAUGAAAGACCAGACCAGAGCCUCAGGCAGUUCUGCACCACCCAGCUCUAGCUCACAUUUUACAGUUUCCUGAACAUGCCUUGAUCUAUCAAAUGGAUAAUGCCACCUCAAACUCACACCAUUGAGUGAAUCGAUGUUGCUGCGCUGGUUGUGUGGUUUUGAAACCACCGCAACACCACAGUAUUUCAGGAUGUCAACCUAGUAAACUUUGAAUGAUGUCCAUGCAAGGAUACCAAGAUGCUAAAGCUCACAAGGU